Cyprinus carpio carpio is the source of this 382-nucleotide long non-coding RNA. The record is from Ensembl. Lineage: Eukaryota; Metazoa; Chordata; Actinopteri; Cypriniformes; Cyprinidae.
UGGAAUAUCAUGUUGAUACAAACAAGGCAAAGGAAAACAUGCAAUUACAAACCAAGAGACUAGGAUCCAAUAGGGGGCCUUUCUCCCUCUAGACGCCAACUUUCCGGUGGCUGAUUGACGAGAAAAGAAGGGAUGACUUGACUCAAUGCAGCGUAACCAGGGUAAUCUUCCAGCUCACUGCUUUGGAGGGAUGCUGGCUGGAGGAUGGCCAUGAAAGAUCUAGAGAAGCUGACAAGUGAAAUCCAUUGGGGCCUAUGUGAUGUUAUCCAAGCCCUUCGCAGUGUUCCUUUUGAACUUGUGCUUCUGAAAGGUUGCAGGAGCAGCAGGUCCAGCCAAAGCUGACACACACCUACGGUUUUAAUCAUGUGACACAUGAGUGGAC